UUCAUAUCAGAUGAGCAUUCAGUUCUUGCAAAGAGAAAUCUGAGACUCAAACAGAAGAAUCUACUUCGAACCCCGAUUGGAGCUCUCCGGUAGAGCUACUUCAGAGCUACACUAAACCUGAGGCUUCUAUCUGUGCAAGGUAUUAUCUGGAUAUCACCACCACCACAGCCACCGUCAUCGUCUUUGCUUCAAACCCCCUCCAUGAGGCUCCUUGGACUCUUCAAUUGAUUAAUGUUCUUUUGCUAGCAAGGUUGAAGGUUUUAUGCAGCAAAUUAGCAGAGUUUGAUUGAUUUAUUAAUAAAGUUUGGCUGCUUGAAAUGUAUGGUCAGGGUAAAGAUCACUCUAUUUCUUAUGUUUGAUUGCUAACACACAGACUCUUCACAUUAAGGUAAAGACUCUUGGCUCCAAAUUAGGUGGGUCUUUCCUGUUUGUGUUUUCUGCUUUUAAAUUGGUCUUUCAUCUAAAAAAAUUUCAAAUUGGUCUUUCCUGUUUGGAAGAUUUGGCAUUUGUUUUCAGAAAUCUCACCAAAGGUCUUUACGAUAUUUAAUAAGGCCAUGAUUUUUGGGCUUUAUAUGUGUAUCUCUAUGAACUUUUUUUUUUCUCUUUUGAAAUUUUUGGCAUUAUACUUUAACUACAUGUCUCUUUUCAGUUAUGAUAUUAAGAAAGAUGUAUGAAACUAUGGAUUUAAAAGGAAUGUAUGAAGAGGAGUUGUUUUGAGGAGUUGCA
Non-coding RNA from Camellia sinensis, 726 nucleotides. The record is from RefSeq and is a predicted model, not a curated record. NCBI's taxonomy places the organism in Eukaryota, Viridiplantae, Streptophyta, Magnoliopsida, Ericales, Theaceae.